RNAcentral lists this ribosomal RNA (262 nucleotides) under uncultured bacterium. RNAcentral's name for it is "partial 16S ribosomal RNA". It matches the Rfam family "Bacterial small subunit ribosomal RNA", at positions 29 to 319 of the family's 1533-position model. The record is from RNAcentral.
AACGAACGCUGGCGGCAGGCCUAACACAUGCAAGUCGAACGCUCCGCAAGGGGAGUGGCGCACGGGUGAGUAACACGUGGGAACCUACCUUCUGGUACGGAACAACCAAGGGAAACUUUGGCUAAGACCGUAUACGACCUCCGGUGAAAGAAUUGAUCGCCGGAAGAGGGGCCCGCGUCCGAUUAGAUAGUUGGUGAGGUAAACGGCUCACCAAGCCUUCGAUCGGUAGCUGGUCUGAGAGGAUGACCAGCCACACUGGGGA